GGGGGAGGCAGCACACUGGGGUCAGGAGUGGAGAUACUUAGGCUCCCCAGAGAAAUUAGUCACAAGUCUUAUCCCUUCAUCUCCAUUUACAGCCAUUUAUUUGGGAGCAACAUACUUUAAAUGAGUGAUAAACAAAAUGUCUCCCCACAGCCCCCACCCCAGCAUGUGUUCUGAAGUUCACAGGAAGGCUUCUCCUCAUUUGCUUUGGGGCCCGCAGGCUGCCUGCUAACAGCUGGGUCUUCCCAUGAACAAAUUAGACAGUUAAUGUUCCAGGAUGAAGAGGGCUUCGGGGAACAGAAUCUGCCGUUUAUUUGACUUGCUUCAUUAGACACAGUGCCAUCAUACCAAAAUUAGAAAAAAGAAGGAACUCAGCGGAAAUCAGCUACACAAGAAGAACCUCUCAGUUCUGAGAAUUCACAUUAACCAGUGAUUAAGAAAUAUUAAAAAGGGCUGAUAGUCCACUACGUUAUCAAGUUCAAAGCCUAAGAAAUAUUGAACAUUUCCACACAUGAAUGUGGGUACUAUGUUUAAUUUGAGAAUGGCCAACUGUCCUCGAAGUCUCAAUCUCUUUGGAGCCUACCAGCUCCGAGAGAAGUUUGAGGAUGCUGCAAAACCCUCCCCUGCAAAUCCAUCUACUCCUCCCACUUCUAUCCUAAUGGGUAUAGUUCUUGGCUGUGCUGAGGAUCUGUAAGGCACCAGAUGUGAAAGUAAGGAAGAAAGAUGGAUGUGGAAGAAAGUCACUGCCCAGAGAAUAAGGAGACCUGGAUUCUAAUCUCAGCUCUGCCAUUAACUAGCUGUGAGACUCAAGAAUAACUAAUCAUUUUGAUAACUCGUUUUUUUACUUUUUAAAAUGAGGAGCCAAGUUUAGACAAUGAGCUCGGCUCUUCACCAGUGAUAAAGUGUCUGGGACAUGCUUCCAUUCAAGCAAUGCUCUUCCUUCUUGUCUAUACUUUAUCCAAGAAAGAAUAAAUCAUUUCCAAAUAUUUUCAAAGAUGAAACUAUGGCUCAAAAGGGAAUAAGAGAUCAAGGCAAGCAUGGACAUCUUGUACGUGGAAGUGCAGACCAGAACUUGUAUCACAGCCAGUCAUAUCUGGUGCUUUCCAUGCUACUUUUACAUACAUGUAUCCUUAAAUUUGAUCCUCUUCUAGUUUAGUCUAAACUCUUUACUUUGUAACUUCCAAACCUAAAAGGUGCAGCAGACAUUGACAAUCUUAA
RNAcentral lists this long non-coding RNA (1215 nucleotides) under Homo sapiens (human). RNAcentral's name for it is "novel transcript". The record is from RNAcentral. Lineage: Eukaryota; Metazoa; Chordata; Mammalia; Primates; Hominidae.